UAACGCGAAGAACCUUACCUGGGUUUGACAUAUGCCGGAAAGCUCCAGAGAUGGGGCCUCUUUUAGUCGGUAUACAGGUGGUGCAUGGCUGUCGUCAGCUCGUGUCGUGAGAUGUUGGGUUAAGUCCCGCAACGAGCGCAACCCUCGUCCUAUGUUGCCAGCACGCCCUUCGGGGUGGUGGGGACUCAUAGGAGACUGCCGGGGUCAACUCGGAGGAAGGUGGGGAUGACGUCAAGUCAUCAUGCCCCUUAUGUCCAGGGCUUCACGCAUGCUACAAUGGCCGGUACAAAGGGCUGCGAUGCUGCAAGGCGGAGCGAAUCCCAAAAAGCCGGUCUCAGUUCGGAUUGGGGUCUGCAACUCGACCCCAUGAAGUCGGAGUCGCUAGUAAUCGCAGAUCAGCAACGCUGCGGUGAAUACGUUCCCGGGUCUUGUACACACCGA
This 441-nucleotide ribosomal RNA is filed under the name uncultured bacterium. RNAcentral's name for it is "bacterial SSU rRNA". It matches the Rfam family "Bacterial small subunit ribosomal RNA", at positions 957 to 1393 of the family's 1533-position model. The record is from RNAcentral.